UCGGCCCCCUAACCUUCAAUUUCAAGGGCAAUAUGAAAAGCGGGAAUUUUCUUGUCUUUUUCUUUUCUCUUUUUCGGCCGCCUAACACUUUAUUCGGCCGCCGAACUUUAUGAAGUUUCGGCCGCCGAAGUUUAAGUUCGGCCUCCUAAACUUGCCCAGUUUCGGCCGCCGAGGAUUAGUUCGGCCGCCGAAGAUUAGUUCGGCCGCCGAAACUGCGCGUUCCUUAAAAACCCCCGCGACAGCUCAUCGUCUUCCUCGCGCGACUCUCUCUCUCCCCCGAAGCUUUCUCUCUCUCCCCGAAGCUCCCUUCGUUCUCCCUCGCAAAACUUGCUGUUUCUGAGC
Molecule: long non-coding RNA, 342 nt
Filed under: Manihot esculenta (cassava)
Lineage: Eukaryota; Viridiplantae; Streptophyta; Magnoliopsida; Malpighiales; Euphorbiaceae
Description: long non-coding RNA (MESC_LNC004149)
Source: RNAcentral